Molecule: ribosomal RNA, 437 nt
Filed under: uncultured soil bacterium
Lineage: Bacteria
Description: bacterial SSU rRNA
Rfam family: Bacterial small subunit ribosomal RNA
Source: RNAcentral
AGAUUGAACGCUGGCGGCAGGCCUAACACAUGCAAGUCGAGCGGUAGAGAGGUGCUUGCACCUCUUGAGAGCGGCGGACGGGUGAGUAAUGCCUAGGAAUCUGCCUAGUGGUGGGGGAUAACGUUCGGAAACGGACGCUAAUACCGCAUACGUCCUACGGGAGAAAGCGGGGGACCUUCGGGCCUCGCGCCAUUAGAUGAGCCUAGGUCGGAUUAGUUAGUUGGUGAGGUAAUGGCUCACCAAGGCGACGAUCCGUAACUGGUCUGAGAGGAUGAUCAGUCACACUGGAACUGAGACACGGUCCAGACUCCUACGGGAGGCAGCAGUGGGAAUAUGGACAAUGGGCGAAAGCCUAGAUCCAGCCAUGCCGCGUGUGUGAAGAGGUCUUGGAUUGAAAGCAACGUUUAGUGGAGGAAGGUUUAGUAACUUAAUACGUU